RNAcentral lists this ribosomal RNA (253 nucleotides) under uncultured bacterium. Its description in RNAcentral is "partial 16S ribosomal RNA". It matches the Rfam family "Bacterial small subunit ribosomal RNA", at positions 524 to 776 of the family's 1533-position model. The record is from RNAcentral.
UACGUAGGGUGCAAGCGUUGUCCGGAAUUAUUGGGCGUAAAGAGCUUGUAGGCGGUUUGUCGCGUCUGCUGUGAAAUUUCGGGGCUCAACCCCGAACUUGCAGUGGGUACGGGCAGACUAGAGUGUGGUAGGGGAGACUGGAAUUCCUGGUGUAGCGGUGAAAUGCGCAGAGAUCAGGAGGAACACCAGUGGCGAAGGCGGCCUUCUGGGUCGACCCUGACGCUGAGGCGCGAAAGCGUGGGGAGCGAACGGG